GACGAACGUUGGCGGCGUGCUUAAUACAUGCAAGUCAACUGAAGCAGUGGUAGCAAUAUCGCUGUGGAGGUGGCGCACGGGUGAGUAACACGUAGGUAAUCUGCCUUCAGGUCUGGCAUAACUCCGGGAAACCGGGGCUAAUAGCAGAUGAUGCAGCGGCUCGACAUCGAGACAGUUGUUAAAGCUAUGGCGCCUGAAGAUGAGCCUGCGUCUGAUUAGCUAGUUGGCGGGGUAACGGCCCACCAAGGCAACGAUCAGUAGCUGGUCUGAGAGGAUGAUCAGACACACUGGAACUGAGAAACGGUCCAGACUCCGACGGGAGGCAGCAGUAAGGAAUAUUGCUCAAUGGGAGAAAUCCUGAAGCAGCAACGCCGCGUGAGGGACGAAGGGCUUUUGCUUGUAAACCUCUGUAGUGAGAGAAAAAAAUCCCAAUCUUUGGGACAUGAUGGUAUCUCAAAAGUAAGCCCCGGCUAACUACGUG
This 481-nucleotide ribosomal RNA is filed under the name uncultured bacterium. RNAcentral describes it as "partial 16S ribosomal RNA". It matches the Rfam family "Bacterial small subunit ribosomal RNA", at positions 28 to 507 of the family's 1533-position model. The record is from RNAcentral.